This is a non-coding RNA of Myotis davidii, 73 nucleotides long. NCBI's taxonomy places the organism in Eukaryota, Metazoa, Chordata, Mammalia, Chiroptera, Vespertilionidae. The record is from Rfam.
GCCGGUGUGGCUCACUGGGUAGAGCGUCGGCCUGGGAACUGAAGGGUCCCAGGUUCGAUUCCGGUCAAGGGCA